Molecule: ribosomal RNA, 329 nt
Filed under: uncultured eukaryote
Lineage: Eukaryota
Description: partial 18S ribosomal RNA
Rfam family: Eukaryotic small subunit ribosomal RNA
Source: RNAcentral
CCCUUAGAUGUUCUGGGCCGCACGCGCGCUACACUGACGAUGGCAACGAGUUUUUCCUUCGCCGAAAGGUGUGGGUAAUCUUUUGAAACAUCGUCGUGCUGGGGAUAGAUCAUUGCAAUUUUUGAUCUUGAACGAGGAAUUCCUAGUAAGCGCGAGUCAUCAGCUCGCGUUGAUUACGUCCCUGCCCUUUGUACACACCGCCCGUCGCUACUACCGAUUGAAUGGUUUAGUGAGGACUCCUGAUUGGCGCCGCCGCCCCGGCAACGGAGCAGCGGACUGCCGAAAAGUUGUUCAAACUUGAUCAUCUAGAGGAAGUAAAAGUCGUAACA